CCGGCAAGGCCGGACCCGGCUGCUGGCUCUGGUUUUUCCUUCUCUGGUCUCGAUCGUCGCCAACCGAUCGUUUUCACCUCGUGGAAUUCCACGCGGCAGCGCACGCCGACGACGUUUUUCCGAGCGUCGCGCGUUUUAUCGAUCGGAGGGAUCCACUUGCAGGUACGCGGGACAAGAUGCAGCUGAGGAACGCUUGAACUUGAUGUACGGCAGACGCAACAAUCGGCCAGCUAGACGAAACAAUCGAGAACGCCUCCCUCAGUGAGAAAUGCCGGCGAGGAACGAACAACAUGAACGUCCACAGGGAUUCUGGUAUGAUACUUUCUGAAGCGAAGAAGGAAGGAAAAAACGCCUAAUCGCGAAGAAAAGAUGGAAUUUAUGAAUUUUUUCGUCAUAUCAUGAGGAUGUAUCUCUUUGUAUCGAAACGUUCAAAGCAUUUAGAGAAGGAUGGUUCGAGGAUCUGCAGAAUUAAUCACGCUAAAAUUGUUAGAUGAUUCAGUGAAUAUCUAGGAUAAAAAGAAACACUAAUUUGUCGAUUAAUUUAGUUUAAUUAUCAUUUCGAUGGCAAAAAUUAAAUUUAAU
Molecule: long non-coding RNA, 582 nt
Organism: Frieseomelitta varia
Lineage: Eukaryota; Metazoa; Arthropoda; Insecta; Hymenoptera; Apidae
Exons: 3
Source: RefSeq, a predicted model, not a curated record